This is a non-coding RNA of Styela clava, 736 nucleotides long. Lineage: Eukaryota; Metazoa; Chordata; Ascidiacea; Stolidobranchia; Styelidae. The record is from RefSeq and is a predicted model, not a curated record.
AAGUAAAUCGAAGCUGGGAGAAACGUUGAAAUUGCCCACUUGGAAACGACUACAUGGCCCAAGGAUACAUUGGUGUUGAUGGUGGAUUGUCAGUCGGCAAAACUUAGCGUGGCAACUAGUGCUCGUCAAUUUGUGCCCAGGGAUGGUUGCUUAUGAAUACAGGUGCCGGUGGUAGCAGCUCAAAAAGUAUGCCAAAUUGAAGGAAAGUUAUUCUAUUUAUUUUUGCGAAUGUUAGAAGAUGUUCACGAUUUGAAUACCGAUAAUUACAGCAGAACCCCUCCAUGCUCGAGCCCAUACAACAGUCAUCAUACUUGCUGUAUAAUUGUGCAUGAAUCAUUUGGUUGAAAUACAAGCCACCUUGCUUAAGAAGACUUGUAUCUAAAUGAUGGGAACUUUUCAUUCCUAUUUAGAGGAAGUUACGGACAGAAGUUUUAUUUGAUUGAAAUAGCAAGCACAUCACUAACGAACACCACAAGCGGAAGAUCUGUAUCUGAUUUCUGUGAACCUCUCAGUCCCAAUUAUAAAAAAUCACAAUCGGCAGUUUGUGGUCAAAUAUAGACUUUUGCUAUGCUAUCCUUGAUCUAAGUAUACCCAAGCAAAGAUAGAGGACAUUGCUUCACUCAAUUAUAGAUUACGCCAAUGCCCAGUGAUUCUUUUUCUAAGGUGCAAGUAACAAAAUCACUGCACUAUCUCAAUAUCUUAUAACUGUAGGAAAUGUUUGCAUGCAUUUUAUGGA